GCGGACGUGGCGAAAUCGGUAGACGCAGCAGACUUAAAAUCUGCCGACCCUGGUGUCAUGCGGGUUCAAGUCCCGCCGUCCGCA
This 84-nucleotide transfer RNA is filed under the name Sphingopyxis alaskensis RB2256. It matches the Rfam family "tRNA". Rfam says of the family: Transfer RNA (tRNA) molecules are approximately 80 nucleotides in length. Their secondary structure includes four short double-helical elements and three loops (D, anti-codon, and T loops). The record is from Rfam by way of RNAcentral. Lineage: Bacteria; Pseudomonadati; Pseudomonadota; Alphaproteobacteria; Sphingomonadales; Sphingopyxidaceae.